RNAcentral lists this ribosomal RNA (435 nucleotides) under uncultured bacterium. RNAcentral's name for it is "partial 16S ribosomal RNA". It matches the Rfam family "Bacterial small subunit ribosomal RNA", at positions 27 to 507 of the family's 1533-position model. The record is from RNAcentral.
GAGCGAACGCUGGCGGCAGGCCUAACACAUGCAAGUCGAACGAACCUUUCGGGGUUAGUGGCGGACGGGUGAGUAACACGUGGGAACGUGCCUUUAGGUUCGGAAUAACUCAGGGAAACUUGUGCUAAUACCGAAUGUGCCCUUCGGGGGAAAGAUUAAUCGCCUUUAGAGCGGCCCGCGUCUGAUUAGCUAGUUGGUUGAGGUAAUGGCUCACCAAGGCGACGAUCAGUAGCUGGUCUGAGAGGAUGAUCAGCCACAUUGGGACUGAGACACGGCCCAAACUCCUACGGGAAGCAGCAGUGGGGAAUCUUGCGCAAUGGGCGAAAGCCUGACGCAGCCAUGCCGCGUGAAUGAUGAAGGUCUUAGGAUUGUAAAAUUCUUUCACCGGGGACGAUAAUGACGGUACCCGGAGAAGAAGCCCCGGCUAACUUCGUG